Molecule: ribosomal RNA, 1481 nt
Filed under: uncultured bacterium
Lineage: Bacteria
Description: bacterial SSU rRNA
Rfam family: Bacterial small subunit ribosomal RNA
Source: RNAcentral
AACGAACGCUGGCGGCGUGGCUAAGACAUGCAAGUCGAACGGACUAUUCAAUUGAGUAAUCGAGCGAAUAGUUAGUGGCGUAAGGGUUAGUAAUGGAUAGGUAACGUACCCUGAGCUUCGGGAUAGCGCCGGUUGCUUCGGCAACCUACCGAAAGGGGCGGUAAUACCGAAUAAUACCGUUAACCAUAUGGUUGAUGGUCAAAGAUUUAUCGGCACAGGAGCGGCCUAUCUCCUAUCAGCUUGUUGGUGAGGUAAUGGCUCACCAAGGCAUCGACGGGUAGCGGGACUGAGAGGUUGACCCGCAACAUCGGGACUGAGACACUGCCCGGACCUCCACGGAGGGCUGCAGUAACGAAUAUUGCGCAAUGGGCGAAAGCCUGACGCAGCGACGCCGCGUGUAGGAGGAAGUCUUUCGGGAUGUAAACUACUGUCAGGGGUAAGAAAGUGCGCUUCGGCGUAUUGAUCUAACCCAAAGGAAGUCACGGCUAACUUCGUGCCAGCAGCCGCGGUAAGACGAAGGUGGCGAGCGUUGUUCGGUGUUACUGGGCUUAAAGCGUAUGUAGGCGGAAAGGUAAGCGUCUUGUGAAAUCCCUCGGCUUAACCGAGGAAUUGCUUGGCGAACUACUUUUCUUGAGGCAAGUAGGGGUGCAUGGAACUCUUGGUGGAGCGGUGGAAUGCGUAGAUAUCAAGAGGAACGCCGGAGGUGAAAACGGUGCACUGGGCUUGUCCUGACGCUGAGAUACGAAAGCGUGGGGAGCGAACGGGAUUAGAUACCCCGGUAGUCCACGCUGUAAACGAUGUCUACUAGGUUGCGGUGGUUCUGACACUGUCGCGACCGAAGCAGAAGUGUUAAGUAGACCGCCUGGGGAGUACGGUCGCAAGGCUAAAACUCAAAGGAAUUGACGGGGGCUCACACAAGCGGUGGAGCAUGUGGAUUAAUUCGAAGCAACGCGUAGAACCUUACCUGGGUUUGACAUGCUUGGAUGCCAAUCUGGAAACAGAGAAAGCUGCCUUCGGGUGAAACUUGCACAGGUGCUGCAUGGCUGUCGUCAGCUCGUGUCGUGAGAUGUCGGGUUAAGUCCUUUAACAAGCGAAACCCUUGCCGUUAGUUGCCAGCGGGUCAUGCCGGGGACUCUAACGGGACUGCCGGUGUAAAACCGGAGGAAGGUGGGGACGACGUCAAGUCAUCAUGGCCUUUAUGCCCAGGGCUUCACACGUGCUACAAUGGCGGCAACAAAGCGACGCAAAACCGUGAGGUCGAGCAAAUCGCAAAAAUGUCGCCCCAGUUCGGAUUGCAGGCUGGCAACUCGCCUGCAUGAAGUCGGAAUCGCUAGUAAUCGCGUACCAGCUACGACGCGGUGAAUGUGUUCCUGAGCCUUGUACACACCGCCCGUCAAGUGAUGGGAGUUGGGAGUACCCGAAGUCGGAUUGCUAACCCCUCGGGGAAGCGUCCGCCGACGGUAAGCCCGAUGACUGGCACU